GCUGUCUCCUCAGAGCGACUGACUGACU
RNAcentral lists this non-coding RNA (28 nucleotides) under Rattus norvegicus (Norway rat). The record is from RNAcentral. Lineage: Eukaryota; Metazoa; Chordata; Mammalia; Rodentia; Muridae.